GGGUCAGUAGGUUGGUCGUGCCACCGGUACGUACUGGUCUCACUGAUUCCUCCUUCCUGAAUAACCGUAAUGCCAUUAAUUUGGUUUUGCGGGGAAACAGGACUGUUACUUUGAAAAAAUUAGAGUGUUUAAAGCAAGCUAACGCUUGAAUACAUUAGCAUGGAAUAAUGAAAUAGGACGAUCGAUCCUAUUUUGUUGGUUUCUAGGAUUGACGUA
RNAcentral lists this ribosomal RNA (216 nucleotides) under Glomeromycotina sp. RNAcentral's name for it is "partial small subunit ribosomal RNA". The stretch from base 40 to 216 matches the Rfam family "Eukaryotic small subunit ribosomal RNA", at positions 686 to 864 of the family's 1831-position model. The record is from RNAcentral. Lineage: Eukaryota; Fungi; Glomeromycota.